Molecule: ribosomal RNA, 544 nt
Filed under: Fusarium sp. C41CZ2
Lineage: Eukaryota; Fungi; Ascomycota; Sordariomycetes; Hypocreales; Nectriaceae
Description: eukaryotic LSU rRNA
Rfam family: 5.8S ribosomal RNA (bases 177-330)
Source: RNAcentral
CUCGUUGGUGACAGCGGAGGGACAUUACCGAGUUUACAACUCCCAAACCCCUGUGAACAUACCUUACUGUUGCCUCGGCGGAUCAGCCCGCUCCCGGUAAAACGGGACGGCCCGCCAGAGGACCCCUAAACUCUGUUUCUAUAUGUAACUUCUGAGUAAAACCAUAAAUAAAUCAAAACUUUCAACAACGGAUCUCUUGGUUCUGGCAUCGAUGAAGAACGCAGCAAAAUGCGAUAAGUAAUGUGAAUUGCAGAAUUCAGUGAAUCAUCGAAUCUUUGAACGCACAUUGCGCCCGCCAGUAUUCUGGCGGGCAUGCCUGUUCGAGCGUCAUUUCAACCCUCAAGCCCUCGGGUUUGGUGUUGGGGAUCGGCGAGCCUUUCUGGCAAGCCGGCCCCGAAAUCUAGUGGCGGUCUCGCUGCAGCCUCCAUUGCGUAGUAGUAAAACCCUCGCAACUGGAACGCGGCGCGGCCAAGCCGUUAAACCCCCAACUUCUGAAUGUUGACCUCGGAUCAGGUAGGAAUACCCGCUGAACUUAAGCAUAUCA